Molecule: ribosomal RNA, 567 nt
Filed under: Pichia kluyveri
Lineage: Eukaryota; Fungi; Ascomycota; Pichiomycetes; Pichiales; Pichiaceae
Description: partial large subunit ribosomal RNA
Rfam family: Eukaryotic large subunit ribosomal RNA
Source: RNAcentral
GCAUAUCAAUAAGCGGAGGAAAAGAAACCAACAGGGAUUGCCUCAGUAGCGGCGAGUGAAGCGGCAAGAGCUCAGAUUUGAAAUCUCACCUAGUGUGCGAGUUGUAAAUUGCAGGUUGGAGUCUCGGGUUAGACGUGUGUGCAAGUCCCUUGGAACAGGGUGCCACUGAGGGUGAGAGCCCCGUAGCGUGCAUGUCGACACCUGUGAGGCCCUUCUGACGAGUCGAGUUGUUUGGGAAUGCAGCUCUAAGUGGGUGGUAAAUUCCAUCUAAGGCUAAAUAUUGGCGAGAGACCGAUAGCGAACAAGUACUGUGAAGGAAAGAUGAAAAGCACUUUGAAAAGAGAGUGAAACAGCACGUGAAAUUGUUGAAAGGGAAGGGUAUUGGGCUCGACAUGGGAUUUACGCAUCGUUGCCUCUCGUGGGCGGCGCUCUGGGUUUUUCCUGGGCCAGCAUCGGUUUUCGUUGCAGGAUAAGGACAAUUGGAAUGUGGCUCCUCGGAGUGUUAUAGCCUUUUGUAGAUGCUGCGUAUGGGGACCGAGGGCUGCGGCGGACUCGUUUCGUCUCGGA